Molecule: long non-coding RNA, 511 nt
Filed under: Chloebia gouldiae (Gouldian finch)
Lineage: Eukaryota; Metazoa; Chordata; Aves; Passeriformes; Passeridae
Description: Erythrura gouldiae (Gouldian finch) lncRNA (ENSEGOG00005011010.1)
Source: RNAcentral
CAGCCUGCGGGUGGGGGUGGGGGCGCUGGGGCUGGGGUACCCCUCCCCCGAGACCCUCGUGUUCCGCUACUGCGGGGGGCGCUGCCCCGCGCCCCCCACCCUGCACGGGCGGGUCCUGGCGGCGCUGCUGGGGGAGGGGGCGCCGGGGGGGGGGCCCUGCUGCCGCCCCACCCGCUACGAGGACGCCGCCUUCCUGGACUCGGGGCUGCGCUGGCAGCGCCUGCCGGGGCUGUCGGCGGCGGCCUGCGGCUGCCUGGGGUGAGACCCCUCCCCAAAUUACCCCGGGAGCCCCUGGAGACCCCCCCCAGUAACCCCUGAGCUCCCCCUAUUAACCCUGAACCCCUGAACCCCCCCCAAAAUAACCCCUGACCCCUCCCAGAUAAACCUGCCGGGGCUGCCUGGGGUGAGACCCCUCCCCACAUUAACCUGAGAGCCCCUCCAGUCACCCCUGAUCCCCUGAACCCCCCCCAAAAUAACCCCUGAACCCCCCCAGAUAAACCUGCCGGGGCUG